This 24-nucleotide non-coding RNA is filed under the name Arabidopsis thaliana (thale cress). Lineage: Eukaryota; Viridiplantae; Streptophyta; Magnoliopsida; Brassicales; Brassicaceae. The record is from RNAcentral.
UUUCAAAGUGCCUAUUUGUGGCUA